GAUGAACGCUGGCGGCGUGCCUAAUACAUGCAAGUCGAGCGAACGGACGAGGAGCUUGCUUCUCUGAUGUUAGCGGCGGAGGGGUGUGUAACACGUGGAUAACCUACCUGUAAGACUGGGAUAACUUGGGGAAACCGGAGAUAAUAGGGGAGGAUAUUUUGAAGCGCAGGGGUGAAUGGUGAGAGACGGUGUUGCUGGCAGGUAUAGAUGGAUCUGCGCUGGUUUCGCUGGUUGGGAAGGUAAAGGGUUAUCAAGGCAACGAUGCCUAGCCGAGGUGCGGGGGUGAUCGCCCACACUGGAACUUGACCACGGUCCAGACGCCUACGGGACGCCGCAGUAGGCAACCUUACGCAAUGGGCGAAAACCUGACGGAGCAACGCCACGUCAGUGAUGGAGGCCUUCCGUGCGUAAAACCCUGUUACUAGGUAUGAACCUAUGUGUACGUUGCUGUGCACAUCUUGACGGUACCUAAUCAGAAAGCCACGGCUAACUACGUG
This 497-nucleotide ribosomal RNA is filed under the name uncultured bacterium. Its description in RNAcentral is "partial 16S ribosomal RNA". It matches the Rfam family "Bacterial small subunit ribosomal RNA", at positions 28 to 507 of the family's 1533-position model. The record is from RNAcentral.